GCUGGUGUAGCUCAAUCGGCAGAGCAUCCGACUUGUAAUCGGAAGGUUAGGGAUUCAACUUCCCUCUCCAGCUC
RNAcentral lists this transfer RNA (74 nucleotides) under Calothrix sp. NIES-4105. RNAcentral describes it as "tRNA-Thr". It matches the Rfam family "tRNA". Rfam says of the family: Transfer RNA (tRNA) molecules are approximately 80 nucleotides in length. The record is from RNAcentral. RNAcentral also lists the same sequence under 1 other name. Lineage: Bacteria; Bacillati; Cyanobacteriota; Cyanophyceae; Nostocales; Calotrichaceae.